GCGCAAUGGGCGAAAGCCUGACGCAGCAACGCCGCGUGAGGGAUGAAGGCCUUCGGGUUGUAAACCUCUUUUCUCAGGGACGAUGAUGACGGUACCUGAGGAAGAAGCCACGGCUAACUACGUGCCAGCAGCCGCGGUAAUACGUAGGUGGCGAGCGUUGUCCGGAUUUACUGGGCGUAAAGAGCGCGCAGGCGGUCGGUCAAGUCGAGUGUGAAAGCCCCCGGCUCAACUGGGGAGGGUCAUUCGAUACUGAUCGACUCGAAGGCAGGAGAGGGAAGUGGAAUUCCCGGUGUAGUGGUGAAAUGCGUAGAUAUCGGGAGGAACACCAGUGGCGAAGGCGACUUCCUGGCCUGUUCUUGACGCUGAGGCGCGAAAGCUAGGGGAGCAAACGGGAUUAGAUACCCCGGUAGUCCUAGCCGUAAACGAUGGACACUAGGUGUUGGUGGUAUCAACCCCGCCAGUGCCGAAGCUAACGCAUUAAGUGUCCCGCCUGGGGAGUACGGCCGCAAGGCUA
Molecule: ribosomal RNA, 514 nt
Filed under: uncultured Acidobacteriota bacterium
Lineage: Bacteria; Pseudomonadati; Acidobacteriota
Description: bacterial SSU rRNA
Rfam family: Bacterial small subunit ribosomal RNA
Source: RNAcentral